GUCUGGUGCCUGUUUUUGCAUUUCUCUGAUGUUUGCUGUAGGGAUGGAUAGUCCUCUGUGAUUCCCUAUGACAACACUCAUGAAGACAGACUGUUAAAUAUGAAUCACAGAUGCCAUGAAGAAUUCCCUGGUAUCACUAACAAAAGGGAGGUAGAGGAGUUUAGAUUCUGGAAGCAGCCUGGAAAUAUCGCACACUGCCCAUUACAUUAAUGGAAAGUAUUGAUAUGUCCAGGAGGUGAUCGGAAGACCUGAGGACAACAUAAUCAUCUUGCUGUUCUACAUGCUGCCUAUGAUUACUUAUUUUGAAAUCAUUAGCUGAAAAUAUUGACGUGUUAGGUAAUGAAUAAAGCUCACAUCAAAGAAACA
This 366-nucleotide long non-coding RNA is filed under the name Athene cunicularia (burrowing owl). Its description in RNAcentral is "lncRNA (ENSACUG00000006009.1)". The record is from RNAcentral. Lineage: Eukaryota; Metazoa; Chordata; Aves; Strigiformes; Strigidae.